AAUUAUCACAAAAAGAUAAAGAAAAAUGCACAAAAUAGUUAUAAUUGCUAUUAUUCAAUUUGUUGCUCUACCAAAUUUAAUCUUCAAGUCUUGAGAAAAUAUGUUUUUUACAGAACACUCAAAUACAUGCAAUGCAUUGACUAUCCAACAUGAAUAAUGAAAUCAACUGAAUUAUAAGUACCCCACAAAUGGUUUUGAAUUUACAGUAUACAUUAGUCCAUGCAUUUUAAAAUACAUGUAAAUAUUUUCCACAGGAUGUUUAGCAACC
Molecule: long non-coding RNA, 268 nt
Filed under: Mytilus galloprovincialis (Mediterranean mussel)
Lineage: Eukaryota; Metazoa; Mollusca; Bivalvia; Mytilida; Mytilidae
Source: RNAcentral